GUGGAUUAGAUACCCUGGUAGUCCACGCUGUAAACGGUGGGUACUAGGUGUGGGGUCCAUUCCACGGGUUCCGUGCCGUAGCUAACGCUUUAAGUACCCCGCCUGGGGAGUACGGCCGCAAGGCUAAAACUCAAAGGAAUUGACGGGGCCCCGCACAAGCGGCGGAGCAUGCGGAUUAAUUCGAUGCAACGCGUAGAACCUUACCUGGGUUUGACAUGGAUCGGGAGCGCUCAGAGAUGGGUGUGCCUCUUUUGGGGUCGGUUCACAGGUGGUGCACGGUCGUCGUCAACU
RNAcentral lists this ribosomal RNA (291 nucleotides) under uncultured bacterium. Its description in RNAcentral is "partial 16S ribosomal RNA". It matches the Rfam family "Bacterial small subunit ribosomal RNA", at positions 773 to 1060 of the family's 1533-position model. The record is from RNAcentral.